RNAcentral lists this small RNA (567 nucleotides) under Pan troglodytes (chimpanzee). RNAcentral's name for it is "processed transcript". Lineage: Eukaryota; Metazoa; Chordata; Mammalia; Primates; Hominidae. The record is from RNAcentral.
AUCCUCAGGAGCCUGGAGCGCCAUGCAGCUGCUGACACAGUAAUGAGCUGAGCAUGAAGACAGAUUCCCGCCUAAACUUGCUGGACGAUGGGACCCUGAUGAUCCAGAACACACAGGAGACAGACCAGGGUAUCUACCAGUGCAUGGCAAAGAACGUGGCCGGAGAGGUGAAGACGCAAGAGGUGACCCUCAGGUACUUCGGGUCUCCAGCUCGACCCACUUUUGUAAUCCAGCCACAGAAUACAGAGGUGCUGGUUGGGGAGAGCGUCACGCUGGAGUGCAGCGCCACAGGCCACCCCCCGCCGCGGAUCUCCUGGACGAGAGGUGACCGCACACCCUUGCCAGUUGACCCGCGAGUGAACAUCACACCUUCUGGCGGGCUUUACAUACAGAACGUCGUCCAGGAGGACAGCGGAGAGUAUGCGUGCUCUGCGACCAACAACAUUGACAGCGUCCAUGCCACCGCGUUCAUCAUCGUCCAGGCUCUUCCUCAGUUCACUGUGACGCCUCAGGACAGAGUCGUUAUUGAGGGCCAGACCGUGGAUUUCCAGUGUGAAGCCAAGGGCA